UACGUAGGAUGCAAGCGUUAUCCGGAAUGAUUGGGCGUAAAGCGUCCGCAGGUGGCUGUGUAAGUCUGCUGUUAAAGAGUCUAGCUCAACUAGAUAAAAGCAGUGGAAACUACACGGCUAGAGUACGUUCGGGGCAGAGGGAAUUCCUGGUGUAGCGGUGAAAUGCGUAGAGAUCAGGAAGAACACCGGUGGCGAAGGCGCUCUGCUAGGCCGUAACUGACACUGAGGGACGAAAGCUAGGGGAGCGAAUGGG
RNAcentral lists this ribosomal RNA (253 nucleotides) under uncultured bacterium. RNAcentral's name for it is "partial 16S ribosomal RNA". It matches the Rfam family "Bacterial small subunit ribosomal RNA", at positions 524 to 776 of the family's 1533-position model. The record is from RNAcentral.